UACGUAGGGGGCAAGCGUUAUCCGGAUUUACUGGGUGUAAAGGGAGCGUAGACGGCAGCGCAAGUCUGGAGUGAAAUCCCAUGGCUUAACCAUGGAACUGCUUUGGAAACUGGGGAUCUAGAGUGUGCGAGAGGUAUGCGGAAUGCGUGGUGUAGCGGUGAAAUGCAUAGAUAUCACGCAGAACCCCGAUUGCGAAGGCAGCAUACCGGUGCACAACUGACGCUCAGGCACGAAAGCGUGGGUAUCGAACAGG
Molecule: ribosomal RNA, 253 nt
Filed under: uncultured bacterium
Lineage: Bacteria
Description: partial 16S ribosomal RNA
Rfam family: Bacterial small subunit ribosomal RNA
Source: RNAcentral